GAAAAUGGUCUCAUAAAGAGAAAAAGUUGCUGUUUAAUCACUGGAAUUUUCGCCACUCAAAAGAUAGCACCCAUACAAGAAACGUCAGGAAGGAGUAAAAAUAAAAUUACAUUUCAGGUUCUCCCCUCACUAAAAUUCAACAAAUAGAUAUUCACAUAUUGAAAGAUCUCGGUCUUGACAACUUUGACAUGAUCGGAGUCUACUUAAACUGAUUUCCUUACCAACAUUUUGUUCUUUCAUCCAAAGCACAAUGAAGAUAUUGCAUCUAGGAGUGAAAGCAAAAUGAAGUAAUUGAAAUUGAAAGUGUCUUAGACACACCCGAGGACAAUGCCGUUAUCCCAUCGCAUAUUUUUGAGUCCAGCUACGAGCAGUGGUCUCGUAUUUGGCCCUGUCAGUCUUG
RNAcentral lists this unclassified non-coding RNA (400 nucleotides) under Hevea brasiliensis (rubber tree). The record is from RNAcentral. Lineage: Eukaryota; Viridiplantae; Streptophyta; Magnoliopsida; Malpighiales; Euphorbiaceae.